UUCGGUGGGGAUUUAGUGGCGAACGGGUGAGUAACACGUGGGCAAUCUGCCCUGCACUCUGGGACAAGCCCUGGAAACGGGGUCUAAUACCGGAUACUGAUCCUCGCAGGCAUCUGCGAGGUCGAAAGCUCGGCGGUGCAGGAUGAGCCCGCGGCCUAUCAGCUGUUGGUGAGGUAACGGCUCACCAAGGCGACGACGGGUAGCCGGCCUGAGAGGGCGACCGGCCACACUGGGACUGAGACACGGCCCAGACUCCUACGGGAGGCAGCAGUGGGGAAUAUUGCACAAUGGGCGAAAGCCUGAUGCAGCGACGCCGCGUGAGGGAUGACGGCCUUCGGGUUGUAAACCUCUUUCAGCAGGGAAGAAGCGAAAGUGACGGUACCUGCAGAAGAAGCGCCGGCUAACUACGUGCCAGCAGCCGCGGUAAUACGUAGGGCGCAAGCGUUGUCCGGAAUUAUUGGGCGUAAAGAGCUCGUAGGCGGCUUGUCACGUCGGUUGUGAAAGCCCGGGGCUUAACCCCGGGUCUGCAGUCGAUACGGGCAGGCUAGAGUUCGGUAGGGGAGAUCGGAAUUCCUGGUGUAGCGGUGAAAUGCGCAGAUAUCAGGAGGAACACCGGUGGCGAAGGCGGAUCUCUGGGCCGAUACUGACGCUGAGGAGCGAAAGCGUGGGGAGCGAACAGGAUUAGAUACCCUGGUAGUCCAC
This 702-nucleotide ribosomal RNA is filed under the name Streptomyces enissocaesilis. Its description in RNAcentral is "bacterial SSU rRNA". It matches the Rfam family "Bacterial small subunit ribosomal RNA", at positions 80 to 798 of the family's 1533-position model. The record is from RNAcentral. Lineage: Bacteria; Bacillati; Actinomycetota; Actinomycetes; Kitasatosporales; Streptomycetaceae.